Molecule: non-coding RNA, 1025 nt
Organism: Lactuca sativa (garden lettuce)
Lineage: Eukaryota; Viridiplantae; Streptophyta; Magnoliopsida; Asterales; Asteraceae
Source: RefSeq, a predicted model, not a curated record
AUUUUCGGUUUAUAAUCCAACACGGCGGUUCUGUUCUUCGUUUCACCGGUGACGAACAAAAGCAAAUCCAGCUCUUCACUUUCUCUUUCCAAGUUGGAUCUGAUCGGCAGACGUGAAGCUUCUGUUGGAUAGUUUCAACCAUGGGUCUGUAAAGGAUAUCCAUUCAUGAGGAUUUGGUUUCACUUUCCAAAGUUCUCCAGGAUUGGGAUACAUGAAAAUAUUCAAUUUGUUCUCUUAAUAAGUCGACAAGGAAAGGUUAGACUGACAAAAUGGUAUUCACCUUAUUCCCAAAAGGAACGAACUAAGGUUAUAAGAGAGCUGAGCGGGAUGAUUCUCACACGUGGUCCCAAGCUUUGCAAUUUUGUUGAGUGGAAGGGAUUUAAAGUUGUUUAUAAAAGAUAUGCAAGCCUCUACUUUUGUAUGUGUGUUAAUCAGGAAGACAAUGAAUUGGAGAUUCUUGAAAUCAUUCAUCAUUUUGUUGAGAUUCUUGAUCGUUACUUUGGAAGUGUUUGUGAGCUGGAUUUGAUCUUUAAUUUUCAUAAGGUAUGUUAUUUUAUCAGAAAAAGUGAAACAGUUUUCGUUUUUGGAAAAUUUCAUGGCAUACUACAUACUGGAUGAAGUUUUAAUAGCAGGAGAACUUCAAGAAUCAAGCAAAAAGACAGUUUCCCGUUUAGUAUCUGCACAGGAUUCUUUAGUGGAGGCAGUGAAAGAAGAAACAAAUUCUAUAAGCAAUAUAAUUGCACAGGCAACCAAGUAAACUCCACCUUCAUUUUUUUUGUGUGUGUGGAAUUGACUGAUUUACAUAUUCAUUUGAUUGAUUUGGUUUCAUAAAAUCUAGAAAGAGACGCAUAAACUUCAAAAUGAGUAUUUGCUGAUUCAUUCAUGGUGUAGGUGUAGUUGUAGGACCCGUUUUGUAUAACAGGUUGUACUGCAUUUUGCAUGCAACGAGACAAAAGUUGCAGCUUUUUAUCCCACCCAAAAAUGUGGACAGAUAAACAAACUGAUUUUAGUGAUGCUUUCAGUUA